This 699-nucleotide long non-coding RNA is filed under the name Mus musculus (house mouse). RNAcentral describes it as "predicted gene, 26844 (Gm26844)". The record is from RNAcentral. Lineage: Eukaryota; Metazoa; Chordata; Mammalia; Rodentia; Muridae.
GUUUUGGAAACUGGGUCUUUAUAGAUAGAGUUGUUGACAUUGUACUGCUUAGACUUGGCUCUAAACUAAAGGACUUGUGACCAUCUAAGAAGGACGAAGGACACAGAGAUGUGUCAAGGAAGAAGGCCUAAUGAAGUGGAGUUGAUACCUUGUAUCAGAAACAGAUGUGAAUGGUACCUGGGUCAUCUCAUCCAUCCUUUAAAUGACUAACUUUAUAAAAUAGAAAUCCACCUCAGAAAUUUGAAAGUGAAGUUCUUAUUGGUUGAUGAAGUUUUUACCUGAUUGCUUAAUCAGGUAAGAAGGCUGUGCUGCAAACACGACUUCAUUUUGAAUUUGAAAAGCUUACACUAUUAUGGAAGAGGAAAGACACCUUUUAUGGGCAGCUGCUGAAGUAGUCCUUCUCCAGACCCAGACUUCCUUCAGGCCUAUGCUUGCCUUUGUUCUGUGAUUUGUUCUGUAUUCCUAGUUUUGUGAUCUUUGAAGACCAAAAGUCAAGAAUCUCAUUCUGCUGACUCCUGGCACACAAAAGCCACUGAGAAGACUAAACUGACUGUGCCUGUCUCAAUUUCAUUUAAACAUUACCCAGGGCUGAUGGGAAAGAAGAACGUUCAAAGAUGGACACACCCCAAUGAUCAAAGUCCAAAUUGUGCUACCCAGACUUCACCAAAAUUCUUAUUAAAAACUGUAGACAGUGCCGCA